GACGAACGCUGGCGGCGUGCUUAACACAUGCAAGUCGAACGGAAAGGCCCUGCGUUUGUGGGGUGCUCGAGUGGCGAACGGGUGAGUAACACGUGAGUAACCUGCCCUUGACUUUGGGAUAACUUCAGGAAACUGGGGCUAAUACCGGAUAGGAGCUCCUGCUGCAUGGUGGGGGUUGGAAAGUUUCGGCGGUGGUGGAUGGACUCGCGGCUUAUCAGCUUGUUGGUGGGGUAGGGGCUGACCAAGGCUUUGACGGGUAGCCGGCCUGAGAGGGUGACCGGCCACAUUGGGCCUGAGAUACGGCCCAGACUCCUACGGGAGGCAGCAGUCGGGAAUAUUGCACAAUGGGCGGAAGCCUGAUGCAGCAACGCCGCGUGCGGGAUGACGGCCUUCUGGUUGUAAACCGCUUUCGCCUGUGACGAAGCGUGAGUGACGGUAAUGGGUAAAGAAGCACCGGCUAACUACGUG
Molecule: ribosomal RNA, 468 nt
Filed under: uncultured bacterium
Lineage: Bacteria
Description: partial 16S ribosomal RNA
Rfam family: Bacterial small subunit ribosomal RNA
Source: RNAcentral